UGGGGAAUAUUGCACAAUGGGCGAAAGCCUGAUGCAGCAACGCCGCGUGAGUGAUGAAGGUCUUCGGAUUGUAAAGCUCUGUCUUUUGGGACGAUAAUGACGGUACCAAAGGAGGAAGCCACGGCUAACUACGUGCCAGCAGCCGCGGUAAUACGUAGGUGGCGAGCGUUGUCCGGAUUUACUGGGCGUAAAGGGUGCGUAGGCGGAUGUUUAAGUGAGAUGUGAAAUACCCGGGCUUAACUUGGGUGCUGCAUUUCAAACUGGAUAUCUAGAGUGCAGGAGAGGAGAAUGGAAUUCCUAGUGUAGCGGUGAAAUGCGUAGAGAUUAGGAAGAACACCAGUGGCGAAGGCGAUUCUCUGGACUGUAACUGACGCUGAGGCACGAAAGCGUGGGUAGCAAACAGGAUUAGAUACCCUGGUAGUCCACGCCGUAAACGAUGAGUACUAGGUGUAGGAGGUAUCGACCCCUUCUGUGCCGCAGUAAACACAUUAAGUACUCCACCU
This 503-nucleotide ribosomal RNA is filed under the name uncultured bacterium. Its description in RNAcentral is "partial 16S ribosomal RNA". It matches the Rfam family "Bacterial small subunit ribosomal RNA", at positions 355 to 874 of the family's 1533-position model. The record is from RNAcentral.